RNAcentral lists this long non-coding RNA (2359 nucleotides) under Acromyrmex echinatior (Panamanian leafcutter ant). Its description in RNAcentral is "uncharacterized LOC105144996, transcript variant X3". The record is from RNAcentral. Lineage: Eukaryota; Metazoa; Arthropoda; Insecta; Hymenoptera; Formicidae.
UAAGCAUGUAUGGGAAUGUAGCAAUGCGCGUGCGUGUGUGUCUUACAGAUGUACAAAUGAUUGAUUACAUUAGUCAUAGGAUAGGAUUUAUGGAGAAUGAUUCUAAUGUAUAUUAAAUAGCUUUAUUCAGUUUUAUUACAAUUUUCAUAGCGAGCUUUGUAGAUCUUUUUUAAAAAAAAUUAAUUAAAAAAUAUUUAUAUUGUGCUUGUAUGUAUUGAUAGAUGUAUGGACGGAGUGGAAAGAAAUUGAAAAGAUUUAUUAUUCAAUUUAUUCCCAAAACUGGUGUAGUUGUUACGAUUAAAUACAGCAGCCAUAAAUCAAACCUGUACCGGACAGAUCAUGAAUCUUCUCAGCAAAGGUGUCAUUCGCUUCGAUCAAUUAACAAUGUACCUGAAUUACAUAUUAUAUAUUAUGACCGCGAUUACAGAAAUAAUAAUAUGGCAAAAAGUCGACAUUUCGAGUUUUGUCGGCUUCAGAACGUUGUUGAUCAUCGUCCUCCCAGGGCAAGGGACUUCGAGCUUCUUGAAUCACAAACUCAAGCAAUGAUUGUGCUACUGACCGAUCAAAGAGUGCAACUGAUGAGAGAACUCAUAGCUAGGAUAUAGGAAGAUGUAUGCUUGGAAGAAAUCGUUCAGCCAGAUCAUGUCAAUAAUUAGAAAGUUGAAGAUCAAGCAAAUCAAAUUCUUGUCGUACGUGCACGUCGUAUAUUUGGCCAUCAUAAUCUUCAUUGAACGAUUGACCGUCUUCUUCACUCUGAUAAUGUUCGUUUUAAUGGAGAAUAAUUUGACUGCCAAUGACUUAUGAAAUGUCAACAUACUUCAACUCGUCGUCGCAUUGUACUUUCCGCUAAUACUGCUGGGUGAAUCAAUAAUGUCAUUCAAUUGAUUGGAGAAUUUUUUACUGAUGAACGAAGUAAACACGGGGACGCUUCUCGGAGAAGACAACACAGUUGCAGUUUAAAUCUCAGAAAUCAAAGGAAGCAACUAAUACAGAAAAUCAAACAGACAAAUACAUCUCGAGAAAUGGGAGUCGCUCUGUCUGAACAUUAAAGAUUAUCUGACCUUUCGGUAUACGUAAAGCAUCAGCGUAUUUUCGCCAAUUAGAUUAGUGGCCAAUUGCCGCCGACUUUGUUAUUGAUAGCCGUACUAGUCUUGUUUUUCUUCGCUACGAAAUCUUAUAUAAAGAUUAGUAUCAAGACCUCAAACGACUCGAAGGUGUAAUGAAGAGUCCUAUAAUCUCGUACGUAACUGCCACUCUGAAUGGUUUACCGACGAUCAGAAGCAGCGGCACUGAAAUUGAGAAAUUAAUGCGAAAACGAUUUGAUGAGUUGCAAGAUCGUCACAGGGAUAUGUGAUAUCUUUUUUUAACAUGCACGUUUAGCGAGUCGGUGUCACUGAUAACCUGCGUAGAAACAAUUCUUUAGUACACGAACCUUUCUAAGGAGGAACCUAUUAUUUCUCGAACCAUAUCUCGGACAAUCUACCGCCACCUACAUGGCCAUCUCAAGAACAAUUGAUCUUGAAGGAUGUCAACAUGAAAUAUCAUAUGAUCCACCAGUUUUGAAGAAUCUGAACGUAUCCACGAGCCUGGCUGGAAAGUUAGAGUGGUUGGACGAACUGGCGCCGGCAAAUCCUUCUUGAUCUCGGCGCUUUUCCGCUUGUUCAAUGAAGAUCUAGAAGGCGAGAUCAAGAUCGAUGACACAAGCACGGUGGGCCUGAGUGAACUGCGCUACAAAAUCUCCAUUAUAUCAUAGGAACCUGUGCUCUUUUCCGAGAGUCUACGUUACAAUCUGGAUCUGUUCAAUCAGUACGACAACAUGAAGCUGUGGGAGGUAUUGCGGCAAGUCGAGCUGAAUGAUGUCACACUGGACCAUGAUAUCUUCUCUGGCAGUCAUAACUUCGGUCAGAGACAACUCAUAUGUCUGGCCAUCUUGAUCCUUUAGAAGGCAAAGAAGCCACAGUAAUCGCAACAAAGUCAUGAUAACGUGCAAAUAUUUACCUUGUCAUGGAUAUGACAUGACAGUAAAAUCAUUGUACUGUGCGAAUGUCCGCUUUGUUGCAGGAAUUUGGUUGCCUAUUUGAGCUGUUACACGAUAAACCAAAUGAUUACUUUUCACAAAUGAUGGAGAAGACGGGCAAUCAGAUAGCGCAAAGUCUUUUAGAACAGGCGAAGAAGGCUUACGAGAAGAAUAACGAUUGUGAAUAGAACUUGUCGACGCAAAAUACUGAGUGUGAGAGCGACAUCACGCUUACAGAAUAAACUGCUUUGUAGAUUUUCUAGUUCUAAAAAUCUUAUACUAAAAAUAUGUAUACUAUAUAUUGUAUAUAAAGUUAUAAUAAAACGACUCAUGAAAUUGAUU